GCGAGUCGAACGGUAACAGGAARMAGCUUGCUKYUUYGCUGACGAGUGGCGGACGGGUGAGUAAUGUCUGGGAAACUGCCUGAUGGAGGGGGAUAACUACUGGAAACGGUAGCUAAUACCGCAUAACGUCGCAAGACCAAAGAGGGGGACCUUCGGGCCUCUUGCCAUCGGAUGUGCCCAGAUGGGAUUAGCUUGUUGGUGGGGUAACGGCUCACCAAGGCGACGAUCCCUAGCUGGUCUGAGAGGAUGACCAGCCACACUGGAACUGAGACACGGUCCAGACUCCUACGGGAGGCAGCAGUGGGGAAUAUUGCACAAUGGGCGCAAGCCUGAUGCAGCCAUGCCGCGUGUAUGAAGAAGGCCUUCGGGUUGUAAAGUACUUUCAGCGGGGAGGAAGGGAGUAAAGUUAAUACCUUUGCUCAUUGACGUUACCCGCAGAAGAAGCACCGGCUAACUCCGUGCCAGCAGCCGCGGUAAUACGGAGGGUGCAAGCGUUAAUCGGAAUUACUGGGCGUAAAGCGCACGCAGGCGGUUUGUUAAGUCAGAUGUGAAAUCCCCGGGCUCAACCUGGGAACUGCAUCUGAUACUGGCAAGCUUGAGUCUCGUAGAGGGGGGUAGAAUUCCAGGUGUAGCGGUGAAAUGCGUAGAGAUCUGGAGGAAUACCGGUGGCGAAGGCGGCCCCCUGGACGAAGACUGACGCUCAGGUGCGAAAGCGUGGGGAGCAAACAGGAUUAGAUACCCUGGUAGUCCACGCCGUAAACGAUGUCGACUUGGAGGUUGUGCCCUUGAGGCGUGGCUUCCGGAGCUAACGCGUUAAGUCGACCGCCUGGGGAGUACGGCCGCAAGGUUAAACUCAAAUGAAUUGACGGGGGCCCGCACAAGCGGUGGAGCAUGUGGUUUAAUUCGAUGCAACGCGAAGAACCUUACCUGGUCUUGACAUCCACAGAACUUUCCAGAGAUGGAUUGGUGCCUUCGGGAACUGUGAGACGGUGCUGCAUGGCUGUCGUCAGCUCGUGUUGUGAAAUGUUGGGUUAAGUCCCGCACCGAGGCAACCCUUAUCCUUGUUGCAGCGGUC
RNAcentral lists this ribosomal RNA (1075 nucleotides) under Escherichia coli. RNAcentral describes it as "bacterial SSU rRNA". It matches the Rfam family "Bacterial small subunit ribosomal RNA", at positions 57 to 1126 of the family's 1533-position model. Lineage: Bacteria; Pseudomonadati; Pseudomonadota; Gammaproteobacteria; Enterobacterales; Enterobacteriaceae. The record is from RNAcentral.